RNAcentral lists this ribosomal RNA (334 nucleotides) under uncultured bacterium. RNAcentral's name for it is "bacterial SSU rRNA". It matches the Rfam family "Bacterial small subunit ribosomal RNA", at positions 173 to 528 of the family's 1533-position model. The record is from RNAcentral.
UAGUCCUUCACCACACAAGUGGUGUCGGGAAAUGGAUUCCGCCAAGGGAUCGGGCUAUAUGGUAUCAGCUAGUUGGUAGGGUAACGGCCUACCAAGGCUAUGACGCCUAGCUGGUCUGAGAGGAUGAUCAGCCACACUGGAACUGAGACACGGUCCAGACUCCUACGGGAGGCAGCAGUGGGGAAUAUUGCACAAUGGGCGAAAGCCUGAUGCAGCAACGCCGCGUGGAGGAUGACACCCUUCGGGGCGUAAACUCCUUUNAUGAGGGAAGAUAAUGACGGUACCUCAUGAANAAGCACCGGCUAACUCCGUGCCAGCAGCCGCGGNAAUACGG